Molecule: transfer RNA, 75 nt
Filed under: Patescibacteria group bacterium
Lineage: Bacteria
Description: tRNA-Ala
Rfam family: tRNA
About the family: Transfer RNA (tRNA) molecules are approximately 80 nucleotides in length. Their secondary structure includes four short double-helical elements and three loops (D, anti-codon, and T loops). Further hydrogen bonds mediate the characteristic L-shaped molecular structure. tRNAs have two regions of fundamental functional importance: the anti-codon, which is responsible for specific mRNA codon recognition, and the 3' end, to which the tRNAs corresponding amino acid is attached (by aminoacyl-tRNA synthetases). tRNAs cope with the degeneracy of the genetic code in two manners: having more than one tRNA (with a specific anti-codon) for a particular amino acid; and 'wobble' base-pairing, i.e. permitting non-standard base-pairing at the 3rd anti-codon position.
Source: RNAcentral
GCGGUCUGUAGCUCAGUUGGUAAGAGCACCUCGUGAGCAACGGGGAGGUCAUGGGUCCGAAUCCCAUCAGCCGCA